This 24-nucleotide non-coding RNA is filed under the name Arabidopsis thaliana (thale cress). The record is from RNAcentral. Lineage: Eukaryota; Viridiplantae; Streptophyta; Magnoliopsida; Brassicales; Brassicaceae.
UAUAUAAGAUAUGGGCCUCUCCAC